CUUUUUAUUUUUUUUCUUUUUUUCGGAGCUGGGGACCGAACCCAGGGCCUUGUGCUUGCUAGGCAAAUGCUCUACCGCUGAGCUAAAUCCCCAAUCACAGCUCUUCUCUCUUUAUUUCUGGAAUAAUUUGCUGUUAAUCUAUAAAAUGGGUCUUUUCUGGCUUUUGUGAAUUAGCUUCUCAUUCAGCAUCCCUGUGACUAGUUUGUAACAGAUUUUUACAAUAAAUAGAUGUUCUGAUUGAGUGUCUAAUGCCUGAAUCUUGUUAGUCAAACCUCAAAUUGCCAUGAACAUUUCUACUGACCAAUUUAGUAUAUUUAGCCCAGCUAGUCAGUAAACAUAACCAGAAAUCAACUGUUCUCCCCUCCGAUUGAGAUCCUAUUUAAUAUUAGAGUAAGCCCAAAUCCAUUGUUUUCCCAGUUAUUCAUACUAGCCAAUGUUUGCCUUGAAACAGAUUGCAUUUGAUUCCAAGAAUUACUUACCACAUAGAAUUUCUGAAGCUGUUAUGGUUUAUUCCUGAGUAGGUUUUUAUCCAAACUAAAACUAAGAACUUUAUUCUCAUUCACACUAUUUACUUGAGUCAUUGACUGAAUGUUUAUGACUUUCCUCUUGAUGGAUUCCUGUAUUGAAAUCAUCAUAUGAUGAUAAUAGGAGGUAGGGCCUCAUAGGAUAAUCAAACCACAGAGGUAGAUCUUCAUGAUUGAAAUUAGCAUAUAUAGAGCAAAAGGAUGUUGUUGUAUAAAUAUAAAAAUAAAACGAUAAAGUUUGGUCUUUUACCCUGCUAGGUCCUACACCUCAGUGCCCCAGAUAUCUGCUAGAUAUCUUGGCGGAAACACAGCCCAGCCACACACUUUCUUUCAAACCCUCACAUAAAAGAACACACAACACAAUAAUCUUAGAUCCAAUUGGUAAGAUAUAAUUGCCCACUUAAACAUACAAAGCCCAGUACCAUCUAUGCCUUGCACCUUUUAUUUGCCAGGUCUCCAGCUUCUCCUUCUCCCACAAUGACUCCUCACUUCUCCCCUCUCUCCAUCUCCUGUCUCCACUAACUUUUCUCCCAACUCAUCCUCUCUCAGUUCCCCAUCGUGGCUUUAAACAGUCCCUUUCCCACUUUUUUCAUUACUCACUCUCCCAACUAUAUCAACUCUUCCAUGCUUUAGUUUCUCCUUCUCCCACAAUGACUCCUAGCUUCUCCCCUCUCUCCAUCUCCUGUCUCCUCUAACUUUUCUCAGUUCCCCAUCAUGUGCUUAACCAGUCCCUUUCCCACCUAUCUUCAUUUCUCCUCUCCCUACUCUCUCAACUGUUUAAUGCUUUCCCUCCCUGCUCAGGUUCUACUGGCUCAACUGUCACCAACUGUCUUCUCUAAUCCUAUUCUCUGAAUCUAAUCCCCCUCUCGCUCCUGACUCCUCCCUCUGCCCAAAUCUAGCGCUCUUGCCUUUAUUUUACAAAUUCAGAAGGAACUCCAAGGCAAACCUCAACAAAAGGAUACUGAGGAAUUUUUCACUUUUUUAAUCUUUGUUUUUUGGCAUUGUUCUCUGAACCUUGAAGAGGAUGUUUUGAUGUUACCAAAGAUAUGGCGGUUUUUGAUAUUAAUAGCAUCCUGAAAAAGUUAAGGUAGAAAUUGCUUUCAACAGAAAUUGACGCAUUGCUAUAUCCAAUAUCUGAAAACAUAGAAACAGCUUUGGAAUAAAUUCACAGGCACAGAAUUCAGAAAUUUUAUGAUGCAUGAUGGAGGAGUCAAGAUUGCUAGGAAAUGAUUUUUUAAAGGAAAUUCUAGGGAUAGCUCAGAAGUUCAGGAGGAAAGGGAAAGGGACACUUCUCUUAGAGGAGACAGAUCAUUAUAGAUAGAACACUGAUAGCUAGAUGGAUAAUAAAAGCUAUUGUAAUGAAUUCUAUGGUAGAAAUGUAGAAAAGGUGAUCUUGGUUAUAUGUUAACAAAGACUACUAUGUUUUUUUGUUCAUGCCUAAUGUUUUAUAAUGGUGUAAUUUUAUAAAGAUUAAGUUGAAUAUUUCCAAUUAUUUGAAAUAUCUAAGUAAAAUGAUAAAAGGGUGGCUUGCAACCAUCUGAUUGAGAACAGGAUGUUAUAAAAGUAAAAGAAUGGAACAAUGGUUAAUUCAGAAACUAUGUUUAACCUCUGCCAAGAUUUGUUAUGAAUAUGAAAAGCAUAAAAUUUAACCAAUCUAUCCUCAUCUAAAAUAUGGAAUUACUAAGCAAAGGGUAACUAAAAUGUAGUGAUUUAGAAAAUCUUCAGUUCAAUUAUAUUGGAAAAAAACCCAAGGAAACAGAAAGUACUACUAAAAUAUAACUACAGUAAGUUCAUGGCCAUGGGAUGGUUUGGUACUCAGAUGACAAGGAUUACAUACUCAGGUACCCCAGUGAAGUCCUAUAACUUCUAACUGAAAGAGAUAGACAAAAUAAGGUAUAAGAAGGGGGUAUUUAUAUUAUUUAUUCUACAGGUGAACUGUAGAGAAAUUCACCUGUCAGUCCGCUUCAUUUUUUUUUAAGAUAAGGGAAGAUGGACUCGAAUAUCAAUUUAUAAAUUUUCAGGGCUGCUAUUUGGUACAGGCACCAAAUUUCUUUUCUUAGGCUAGAUGAUGCCUUUAGAUUUAGGGCUUGGGUUUUGGGCACGGGAGAAGAUUCAGGACUGCUACCUUGAUGGCUCCGGUGGAUAGAACACAACCACGACGAUCUGGACAGCAGAAAAUUGAACUAAGCUCUCUGAAGACAGGAAAUGAACAGUGAAUAUAUUUUAUUCAAAGCCUGCAUGAACCCAUCAAAGGAUAGCAACAAAAAGAGAUCAUUUUACACUUUCUUACUAAGGACACGGUUUGGCGAGGACAACUUCUAAGAAAGCCUCUAUGUAACUCAUGAAAACAACACAUAACAGAAGCCUCGCCCUGCUCUAUUCUUAUUAUAAAAUAUCACAAACACUUGGACCAAGAGGAGAAGGAAAUCUGAAUUAGGCUAUGCAUGUUCAAUUAAAAGUUUAACUUUUACUGAAUAGAAUCAGAGUGAAUAGAAUUGAAACAAUGGAGAAGUGGUAUUUUGAAGAGAAAAAAUAUUUGUAUGUGUCUCCAAUUCUCGUCACCAUGGAACAAUGGAAAGAUCUGUUUGUAAUAAACGAAGAAAGAACCCGAGAAAAUGACAAAGCAAACUCCUUGCCAAAUAAUUCCUUUAAAAAAAAUCCUUGUUUCCGGAGUCAUUUGAGAGACACUUCAACCUCUUGCUUGUACGUCUAUAUAGCUCACUCUAAAAUCACGUCUUAUUUGCCGCAGUUGCUAUCCCAUUCAUUUGUAAUUGGUUUCAAAGCUCUGAGCAGAGCUUCCUUUUGUGCAGCUGUAGUUCCUCUUCUCCCCGGCUACUCUUCAUUCCUGGCAGUCCUAACAAUUGUUGCUCCUUCCUACUUCUGUAUGAAUUCUGUUAUAAGCUUGAUAAAUUCAUAAUAAAUCAUUUUUCUGAGUA
Molecule: non-coding RNA, 3460 nt
Organism: Rattus norvegicus (Norway rat)
Lineage: Eukaryota; Metazoa; Chordata; Mammalia; Rodentia; Muridae
Source: RefSeq, a predicted model, not a curated record